GACGAACGCUGGCGGCGUGCUUAACACAUGCAAGUCGUACGGUAAGGCCCUUUCGGGGGUACACGAGUGGCGAACGGGUGAGUAACACGUGAGUAACCUGCCCACAACUUUGGGAUAACGCUAGGAAACUGGUGCUAAUACUGGAUAUGUGCUCCUGCUGCAUGGUGGGGGUUGGAAAGCUCCGGCGGUUGUGGAUCGACUCGCGGCCUAUCAGCUUGUUGGUGGGGUAGUGGCCUACCAAGGCGGCGACGGGUAGCCGGCCUGAGAGGGUGACCGGCCACAUUGGGACUGAGAUACGGCCCAGACUCCUACGGGAGGCAGCAGUGGGGAAUAUUGCACAAUGGGCGCAAGCCUGAUGCAGCAACGCCGCGUGCGGGAUGACGGCCUUCGGGUUGUAAACCGCUUUCAGCAGGGACGAAGCUUUUUGUGACGGUACCUGCAGAAGAAGCACCGGCUAACUACGUG
This 465-nucleotide ribosomal RNA is filed under the name uncultured bacterium. Its description in RNAcentral is "partial 16S ribosomal RNA". It matches the Rfam family "Bacterial small subunit ribosomal RNA", at positions 28 to 507 of the family's 1533-position model. The record is from RNAcentral.